CAGUCGCCGCGGUAACACGGAGGGGGCUAGCGUUGUUCGGAAUUACUGGGCGUAAAGCGUACGUAGGCGGCUUUGUAAGUCAGGGGUGAAAUCCCAGAGCUCAACUCUGGAACUGCCUUUGAUACUGGGUAUCUUGAGUAUGGAAGAGGUUAGUGGAAUUGCGAGUGUAGAGGUGAAAUUCGUAGAUAUUCGCAGGAACACCAGUGGCGAAGGCGGCUAACUGGUCCAUAACUGACGCUGAGGUGCGAAAGCGUGGGGAGCAAACAGGAUUAGAUACCCCAGUAGUCCCUGUCUCUUAUAU
This 301-nucleotide ribosomal RNA is filed under the name uncultured bacterium. RNAcentral's name for it is "partial 16S ribosomal RNA". It matches the Rfam family "Bacterial small subunit ribosomal RNA", at positions 509 to 809 of the family's 1533-position model. The record is from RNAcentral.